GGUGCUGUGGCUUAGUUGGUCAAAGCGCCUGUCUAGUAAACAGGAGAUCGUGGGUUCAAAUCCCAGCAGUGCCU
This 74-nucleotide transfer RNA is filed under the name Danio rerio (zebrafish). It matches the Rfam family "tRNA". Rfam says of the family: Transfer RNA (tRNA) molecules are approximately 80 nucleotides in length. Their secondary structure includes four short double-helical elements and three loops (D, anti-codon, and T loops). The record is from Rfam by way of RNAcentral. Lineage: Eukaryota; Metazoa; Chordata; Actinopteri; Cypriniformes; Danionidae.